This 482-nucleotide ribosomal RNA is filed under the name uncultured bacterium. Its description in RNAcentral is "partial 16S ribosomal RNA". It matches the Rfam family "Bacterial small subunit ribosomal RNA", at positions 30 to 507 of the family's 1533-position model. The record is from RNAcentral.
AUUGAACGCUGGCGGCAUGCCUUACACAUGCAAGUCGAACGGUAACAGGUCUUCGGAUGCUGACGAGUGGCGAACGGGUGAGUAAUACAUCGGAACGUGCCCAGACGUGGGGGAUAACGAGGCGAAAGCUUUGCUAAUACCGCAUACGAUCUAAGGAUGAAAGCAGGGGACCGCAAGGCCUUGCGCGUUUGGAGCGGCCGAUGGCAGAUUAGGUAGUUGGUGGGAUAAAAGCUUACCAAGCCGACGAUCUGUAGCUGGUCUGAGAGGACGACCAGCCACACUGGGACUGAGACACGGCCAAGACUCCUACGGGAGGCAGCAGUGGGGAAUUUUGGACAAUGGGCGAAAGCCUGAUCCAGCAAUGCCGCGUGCAGGAUGAAGGCCUUCGGGUUGUAAACUGCUUUUGUACGGAACGAAAAGGCUCUGGCUAAUACCUGGGGCACAUGACGGUACCGUAAGAAUAAGCACCGGCUAACUACGUG